This is a small nuclear RNA of Suricata suricatta (meerkat), 107 nucleotides long. The record is from Ensembl. Lineage: Eukaryota; Metazoa; Chordata; Mammalia; Carnivora; Herpestidae.
AUGCUUUCUUCGCAGCACACAUCCUAGAAUUGGAAUCAUACAGAAAAAAUUAGCAUGGCCCCCGCCCAAAGGAUGGCAUGCAAAUUCAUGAAGCCUUCCAUAGUUCU